CGCCGGCCACGGUGCCAUCAGCCAGUCAGCCUUGGCUGUGCGGUGAAGGGAAAGUAGAGCUAGCAAGACUGGUUGCUGUGGGAAAACUGGGUCAGUGGGACUGGGGUUGCAUACACGAAAUCGCAUGGGAUACCAGUUUGUCUGGCACAGAAGGUGAACCUGGGUGAUUGGACUGACGGCAUCACGUGAGGAAGUAGUGGGAUCCCUUGGACAACUUUAAGGCCCUCAGUCGGGCCAGUAUUAUCCAUAUACAAAAGUGCCGGGGUUGAUUCGCUGCCAAGGACACAGGAGGUGUUGUUCCCUUCUGAUUCUGGGAAUUCUCCAGACAAGACUUCCGGAAAUGCUUUCUGGAGAUUUAAAGCAAGCUUAUUGAACUUGUGCCCUACGAGGUGAACGUGACAGGCUCCUGGGAAUCAGAGAUCUCGAUGGACACCUUAACGCUGCAGCCGUUGUCCCCGCCCCCGUCCCUCUGG
Esox lucius (northern pike) is the source of this 473-nucleotide long non-coding RNA. RefSeq lists it as uncharacterized. NCBI's taxonomy places the organism in Eukaryota, Metazoa, Chordata, Actinopteri, Esociformes, Esocidae. The transcript is spliced from 3 exons. The record is from RefSeq and is a predicted model, not a curated record.